AGAUGGAGUCUCUCUCUGUUGCCCAGGCUGGAGUGCAGUGGUGUGAUUUUGGCUUACUGCAACCUCCACCUCCCAGGUUCAUGCAAUUCUCCUGCCUCAGCCUCCAGAGUAGCUGGGAUUACAGGCACCCACCACCACCCCCGGCUAAUUCUUGUAUUUUUAGUAGAGAUAGGGUUUCACCAUGUUGGCCAGGUUGGUCUCGGACUCCUGACCUCAAGUGAUCUGCCCACUUCAGCUUCCCAAAGUGCUGGGAUUACACACAUGAGCCACUGUGCCUGGCCGCCUAUGGAUUUGAAUUACUCUUUUCUUUCUUAAAAUGAAAGCUACCAGAAUAAAACAUCAAUUUUUAUUUACCAGACUCUUGUUCCUAUUUAAUACUUAUUAAACAUGUUUCGAUGAUGUUAAUCCAUAUUACUAAAGACUGCAAAACUGUGGUCCAUCUUCUCUUGUUCUUAACUGCCAGACUUGCUGCGCAAAGAGCGAAAUUUUUAAAAGAUAAGAUGGAAGAAACACAGUGUUACAAGAGAGCUUUGGAUGCACAGGUAAGGGGACAGACAAAUAUUAUUGUUUUUAAAAUUAUGCAAUGCGUCAAUAACAUCCUAAAAUAUGUGUAAGUUGUUAACGAAUAUUUUUAUGUGUUAUGCAUUUGGUAGUUUUUGUGCCCCGCAUUCCUUCCUGUAAGAUACUGGUAUUUUACCACAUUACAGGGUUGUGCAUAAAGCUUAUUCCCUGGUAGAAUGAUAACCUGCAUUAUGUGUAUCUCUGUUUAAGAUAAAGAACAAACCCUCCCGGCUGCCCCCCUUUGAGCCAGACUCCUCCGAGCCCAUCUUUGGUAAGAAUGAGGGUGAACUGAUGGUGGAAAAGCAAAAGCGAGAACAAAAUUACAUGAAACACCAGCUGGAGGCAGCUGCUAACCACAAGAGGAAAGCCAUCCUGCAUCAACUAGUGGACCAGAGGUGGGAUUUGCAAAUGCUUCAGAGGACACAAAGAGAGCACUUGGCAGACAGAACCGCUGAGCUGGAGCGAGUAAAUAGAGUCAACCAAUGCUUACAGGAGGACUGGGAAAGGAGUGCUGCGAUGAAGAAGCAGCGAGACCUGGAGGACAAGGCUUUUGAACGGGCUUCAGACAAGCUGUUUCUCCUAGACCAGUGUGAGAAGUAUCGGCGCUGCAAGCAAUGCCAGAGGCGCACCUCCAACGUGGGCGAGAGCAACCUGUGGCCCCUGAACAAGUUCCUGCCUGGCUCCCGGUUGCUUGUGUAAAACUCAAAGUUUGGCUCUGCGUUUCCUGGGGAAAGUUUUUAUCUUUUACAUGUUUGGGGGUGAUUGUGAAACUGCGUAUUUUUACCUCAGAGAAAAAAAUCAUUGUUUAGGUUUGGUGCUUUCAUUAGAUUGCUUGUUAAGCCCUUAUUGAAUUCACUCCUGCUUUCCUCCCACCCCCAAUUAUUUCCUAUACUAGUUUCUGAUGGCAGUGAAGGUGUCUGAAUGGUCCUGAGGGCUAGAACCUGCUGCACAGGGGCUGGGAAUGGGAUCCAGCUUCAUUAUGGCUGCUGGGGUGCUGCUGACCCAGCCCUGCUGCUGCCCCAUGACUUUGUGUACAAAACUUUUUUCAUCUGUAAUGAAUAGUGGCAAUAAUAAAUAUUUUCUAAGCGCC
RNAcentral lists this small RNA (1651 nucleotides) under Pan troglodytes (chimpanzee). RNAcentral describes it as "retained intron". The record is from RNAcentral. Lineage: Eukaryota; Metazoa; Chordata; Mammalia; Primates; Hominidae.